GGCGGGGGCAGAGCGAGGCAGCAGCGCGGGCUCCGUGAGGGACGGCCCAGCCACCAGCCGGCACCGGGAGCGCGGGACCGAGCUUCAAAGCAUGUUGCUUUAUUGUGUGGAAGAUCCAGUCCAUUUUUGUUGUCCAGCCACCAUGGUGAGCAUCAUUCAUUUGCUUCAUGAAGUACUCAAGAGCUUCCUGCUCAGUUUUGUCCAAUGCAAGGGUCUUCCGAAUGUACGCAAUAUCAUCAAAGGACUGCAGUUCUGGCAUUCCUGAGCCAAGCAUCAUGGAGAAGAGAUUUAUGAACAGAUUGGCAUGCUGCCGAAUUGCUAGAUAAGCCUUGUAACACAUCUCUUGAAACCUGGAAGAGAUAGAAAAGAAAAACCACACCCACAAAGAGACAACACUCAGUAUAUUGCCUUGUUAGAUGCAUUUUCUUUUUCACCUCUAAAAAGAUUUUCAAGCAACUAUAUACAGAUAAAAGGUUGACAUUCAUAGUUUAACUAAAUCCAACAAAUGUUCAGACAUCCUUAUCUUCCUUCUUAGAUUAUUUUAACUGCUGUAAGACUUAGUAUUGGUCAGACUGGUACAACAGUCAAAAUUUCCAGCCUCAAUUCUCAAUUUACGCAAACGUUCAACAACUCUAAAGGGGUACACAGAGCCUUUUACUUAUUUGUGGCAACAUUUCAGAUCAUAAAGCAAGUUUCCUGAUCAACUGCUGUGAACAGUGCUUCCCUGGUGAUCAUCAAGGAGAGAUACACUUCUGUCCCACACUUCUAUGAAGUUACUGUUCAUCCUUAGCUACUCUUCAGAAUGCACUGAAUACAGGAGCAUUUGCUCUCUUACAGCAUUGAGUGUGAAAUGUCUGUUUAUGUGAAACAAUUAAAGGUCACCAGAAUUGCA
Molecule: long non-coding RNA, 892 nt
Organism: Centrocercus urophasianus (Greater sage-grouse)
Lineage: Eukaryota; Metazoa; Chordata; Aves; Galliformes; Phasianidae
Exons: 2
Source: RefSeq, a predicted model, not a curated record